AUUGAACGCUGGCGGCACGCCUUACACAUGCAAGUCGAACGGUAACGCGGGGCAACCUGGCGACGAGUGGCGAACGGGUGAGUAAUGUAUCGGAACGUGCCCAGUUGUGGGGGAUGACUGCUCGAAAGAGCAGCUAAUACCGCAUACGACCUGAGGGUGAAAGCGGGGGAUCGCAAGACCUCGCGCAAUUGGAGCGGCCGAUAUCAGAUUAGGUAGUUGGUGGGGUAAAGGCCUACCAAGCCUACGAUCUGUAGCUGGUCUGAGAGGACGACCAGCCACACUGGGACUGAGACACGGCCCAGGCUCCUACGGAGGCAGCAGUGGGGAAUUUUGGACAAUGGGGGCAACCCUGAUCCAGCCAUGCCGCGUGCGGGAAGAAGGCCUUCGGGUUGUAAACCGCUUUUGUCAGGGAAGAAAUCCUUUGAACUAAUACUUCGGAGGGAUGACGGUACCUGAAGAAUAAGCACCGGCUAACUACGUGCCAGCCGCCGCGGUAA
RNAcentral lists this ribosomal RNA (497 nucleotides) under uncultured bacterium. RNAcentral describes it as "partial 16S ribosomal RNA". It matches the Rfam family "Bacterial small subunit ribosomal RNA", at positions 30 to 523 of the family's 1533-position model. The record is from RNAcentral.